Molecule: non-coding RNA, 374 nt
Organism: Danio rerio (zebrafish)
Lineage: Eukaryota; Metazoa; Chordata; Actinopteri; Cypriniformes; Danionidae
Source: RefSeq, a predicted model, not a curated record
UUUUGCUACAAAGAGACAACCAGGAGCACAGGGGCUGAUUGGAAAUGAAACACUGUGCCCUCUUGUGUUCAUAAGAGAGACUGCAGCAGGUGGUGACACUUUUUUUUUCUCUGGUGUGUUUGUGUGUUCAGUGUGAGAUCAGGAUCAUGUGUGUCCAGCUCAGUGUUUCUGAAGAGUGACCAGUCAAAAGGGUGGAAUCCACCAAACUUCAGUGGGGAAACCCCAUCAUCUUCCGAAAGUGAUGAAUAUGAGUCGGCAGAUUCAGGAGACGAGACUCUCUGGAGACACAAGAGCUUCACAGACAAUCUCCAGUCCAUCUUCCAGAAUCUUGAGAGCAAAAUGAUCAGAUUUGUGAAGAAUGAACUGGAAAAGUU